RNAcentral lists this ribosomal RNA (689 nucleotides) under Enterobacter sp. Its description in RNAcentral is "bacterial SSU rRNA". It matches the Rfam family "Bacterial small subunit ribosomal RNA", at positions 61 to 745 of the family's 1533-position model. Lineage: Bacteria; Pseudomonadati; Pseudomonadota; Gammaproteobacteria; Enterobacterales; Enterobacteriaceae. The record is from RNAcentral.
GUCGACGGUAGCACAGAGAGCUUGCUCUCGGGUGACGAGUGGCGGACGGGUGAGUAAUGUCUGGGAAACUGCCUGAUGGAGGGGGAUAACUACUGGAAACGGUAGCUAAUACCGCAUAACGUCGCAAGACCAAAGAGGGGGACCUUCGGGCCUCUUGCCAUCAGAUGUGCCCAGAUGGGAUUAGCUAGUAGGUGGGGUAACGGCUCACCUAGGCGACGAUCCCUAGCUGGUCUGAGAGGAUGACCAGCCACACUGGAACUGAGACACGGUCCAGACUCCUACGGGAGGCAGCAGUGGGGAAUAUUGCACAAUGGGCGCAAGCCUGAUGCAGCCAUGCCGCGUGUAUGAAGAAGGCCUUCGGGUUGUAAAGUACUUUCAGCGGGGAGGAAGGUGUUGUGGUUAAUAACCGCAGCAAUUGACGUUACCCGCAGAAGAAGCACCGGCUAACUCCGUGCCAGCAGCCGCGGUAAUACGGAGGGUGCAAGCGUUAAUCGGAAUUACUGGGCGUAAAGCGCACGCAGGCGGUCUGUCAAGUCGGAUGUGAAAUCCCCGGGCUCAACCUGGGAACUGCAUUCGAAACUGGCAGGCUAGAGUCUUGUAGAGGGGGGUAGAAUUCCAGGUGUAGCGGUGAAAUGCGUAGAGAUCUGGAGGAAACCGGGGGCGAAGGCGGCCCCCGGACAAAGACGACG